UUCGUCUGGCCUUGUGUGGGAAUUUCUACAUGCAUUAUUUCAUUCAACAAUUCAACCAAGAAAAUAUCACUAUUAUUACACAGACCCGUGGCUUUUUCGAAGCAUGAGAUUAUGGGCUCCAGUUCACAAUCAAGCUUUCUGGAGAAAUGCUGGAAGGUUAAGAGUGGUUGAUGGCGAACACUGAGCAAAGCAAGCAAAAUAUAUCCGUGGGAGACACAAGAGAGAGAGGGAGCGACGGAUGACAUCUGUGGAAAGGCAUAGCCAAUCGAUCAUCCAUCCUCUUUCCAACUUCCCAGAAGACUGAUUCCUUAGAGCAUAACAGCUCUCCUGAUGCUGCUCCUAGACCGUGACCCAUGCUGGCAAAGCUUCUGCUCCCAUGUGGCUGAAUGUUUCAUAAGGAGAGCUACUAAAAUGCAGAGAAGCACAAAGUCUUAAUUGCUUGCUAGUGGGCACUCAGCCAACAUACUGUUAGCAGAAUGAAACUCAAUCUCAAAGAAAAUGUGCUGAACCCCUGCUCUGGAUCACCCAAGGCCCAUAUGGAUUGCAUGUGUUUUGGAGAGGUUCACCAUGUCAUGUAAAUGGGAUACCCAGUGGUUCACCGUAGUAUCUUAAAAUACCACAAAGACCAUGAA
Long non-coding RNA from Fukomys damarensis (Damara mole-rat), 632 nucleotides. RefSeq lists it as uncharacterized. The record is from RefSeq and is a predicted model, not a curated record. Lineage: Eukaryota; Metazoa; Chordata; Mammalia; Rodentia; Bathyergidae. The transcript is spliced from 4 exons.